Molecule: ribosomal RNA, 166 nt
Filed under: uncultured eukaryote
Lineage: Eukaryota
Description: partial small subunit ribosomal RNA
Source: RNAcentral
CUCGCUUCGCCCACGGUAUAGCAAUUAAAUCAAAGUCCCUUGCAAGAGUACCGUGUACGGCAAGGGCAUAGCCUCGCUCUCUGAAAAACUCACAGAGCGCAGGAUACAUAGCCGCGCAGUAAACGGGUGCGUAAUUAGCUUCCUUCACUCGGCACAUCCUUGUCGG